This 588-nucleotide ribosomal RNA is filed under the name Triticum aestivum (bread wheat). RNAcentral's name for it is "partial small subunit ribosomal RNA". Lineage: Eukaryota; Viridiplantae; Streptophyta; Magnoliopsida; Poales; Poaceae. The record is from RNAcentral.
UUAAGAAGAAUGACAAGCGUGACCAAAAAUCAGUUUGGUUUCAUGCCUGGGAGGUCGACCAUGGAAGCCAUUUUCUUGGUACGACAACUUAUGGAGAGAUAUAGAGAGCAAAAGAAGGACAUGGAUAUAGUGUUCAUUGACUUGGAGAAGGCCUAUGAUAAGAUACCGCGGAAUGUCAUGUGGUGGGCCUUGGAGAAACACAAAGUCCCAGCAAAGUACAUUACCCUCAUCAAGGACAUGUACGAUAAUGUUAUGACAAGUGUUCAAACAAGUGAUGUCGACACUGAUGACUUCCCGAUUAAGAUAGGACUGCAUCAGGGGUCAGCUUUGAGCCCUUAUCUUUUUGCAUUGGUGAUGGAUGAGGUCACAAGGGAUAUACAAGGAGAUAUCCCAUGGUGUAUGCUCUUUGCGGACGAUGUGGUGCUAGUUGACGAUAGUCGGACGGGGGUAAAUAGGAAGUUAGAGUUAUGGAGACAAACCGUGGAAUCAAAAGGGUUUAGGCUUAGUAGAACUAAAACCGAGUACAUGUUGUGCGGUUUCAGUACUACUAGGUGUGAGGAGGAGGAGGUUAGCCUUGAUGGCCAGGUG